This 144-nucleotide unclassified non-coding RNA is filed under the name soil metagenome. RNAcentral describes it as "partial internal transcribed spacer 1". The record is from RNAcentral.
UAAUAAGUGUUUUAUGGCACUUUUAAAUCCAUAUCCACCUUGUGUGCAAUGUCAGUCGAUCUUCUUCAUGGAGAUCGACCAAACAUCAACCUUUAUUUUUUAACUCUUUGUCUGAAAAAUAUUAUGAAUAUACAAUUCAAAAUA